AUUGAACGCUGGCGGAAUGCUUUACACAUGCAAGUCGAACGGCAGCACGGACUUCGGUCUGGUGGCGAGUGGCGAACGGGUGAGUAAUGUAUCGGAACGUGCCCAGUCGUGGGGGAUAACGUAGUGAAAAUUACGCUAAUACCGCAUACGAUCUAUGGAUGAAAGCGGGGGAUCGCAAGACCUCGCUCGAUUGGAGCGGCCGAUAUCAGAUUAGGUAGUUGGUGGGGUAAAGGCCCACCAAGCCAACGAUCGGUAGCUGGUCUGAGAGGACGACCAGCCACACUGGAACUGAGACACGGUCCAGACUCCUACGGGAGGCAGCAGUGGGGAAUUUUGGACAAUGGGCGAAAGCCUGAUCCAGCCAUUCCGCGUGCAGGAUGAAGGCCCUCGGGUUGUAAACUGCUUUUGUACAGAACGAAAAGGUUUCUACUAAUACUAGGAGCUCAUGACGGUACUGUAAGAGUAAGCACCGGCUAACUACGUGCCAGCAGCCGCGGUAA
RNAcentral lists this ribosomal RNA (500 nucleotides) under uncultured bacterium. RNAcentral describes it as "partial 16S ribosomal RNA". It matches the Rfam family "Bacterial small subunit ribosomal RNA", at positions 30 to 523 of the family's 1533-position model. The record is from RNAcentral.